GGGAAAGUGGCGAAACGGUUAGACGCGGGGCGAGUUGAGCCCUGGGAAGUUGCGCAACCCUUGUUGGUUCAAAUCCAACCUUUCCCACCA
RNAcentral lists this transfer RNA (90 nucleotides) under Caudoviricetes sp. RNAcentral's name for it is "tRNA-OTHER". It matches the Rfam family "tRNA". From Rfam's summary of the family: Transfer RNA (tRNA) molecules are approximately 80 nucleotides in length. Lineage: Duplodnaviria; Heunggongvirae; Uroviricota; Caudoviricetes. The record is from RNAcentral.